Molecule: ribosomal RNA, 433 nt
Filed under: uncultured bacterium
Lineage: Bacteria
Description: partial 16S ribosomal RNA
Rfam family: Bacterial small subunit ribosomal RNA
Source: RNAcentral
AACGAACGCUGGCGGCAUGCCUAACACAUGCAAGUCGAACGAGACCUUCGGGUCUAGUGGCGCACCGGUGCGUAACGCGUGGGAACCUGCCCUUAGGUUCCGUAUCAUUCCCCUAAAGGGGUGUUAAUACCGGAUAAUGUCUUCGGACCAAAGAUUUAUUGCCUUUGGCUGGGCCCGCGUUGGUUUAGCUAGUUGGUAGGGUAAAAGCCUACCAAGGCGACGAUCCAUAGCUGGUCUGAGAGGAUGAGCAGCCACACUGGGACUGAGACACGGCCCAGACUCCUACGGGAGGCAGCAGUGGGGAAUAUUGGACAAUGGGCGAAAGCCUGAUCCAGCAAUGCCGCGUGAGUGAUGAAGGCCUUAGGGUUGUAAAGCUCUUUUACCCGGGAUGAUAAUGACAGUACCGGGAGAAUAAGCUCCGGCUAACUCCGUG